GUGUGUGUGUGUGUGUGUGUGUAAGAGAGUAUUGUAGUUCGCUUGAAGCAUUGUGUACUGUUUGUAAAAUGUAACGUGUCUUGAAUGACACAACAAAGCA
This is a long non-coding RNA of Octopus sinensis (East Asian common octopus), 100 nucleotides long. RefSeq lists it as uncharacterized. The transcript has 3 exons. Lineage: Eukaryota; Metazoa; Mollusca; Cephalopoda; Octopoda; Octopodidae. The record is from RefSeq and is a predicted model, not a curated record.